RNAcentral lists this ribosomal RNA (129 nucleotides) under uncultured bacterium. Its description in RNAcentral is "partial 16S ribosomal RNA". It matches the Rfam family "Bacterial small subunit ribosomal RNA", at positions 917 to 1045 of the family's 1533-position model. The record is from RNAcentral.
GGGCCCGCACAAGCGGUGGAGCAUGUGGUUUAAUUCGACGCAACGCGCAGAACCUUACCAGGGUUUGACAUCCUGCGACCGCUCCUUAAUAGGAGUUUUCCCGCAAGGGACGCAGAGACAGGUGCUGCA